UAUUUAUUAGAUAACAGACCAAUAUUCCUCGUGUCUAUUGUGGUGACUCAUAGUAACUGAUCGGAUCGCAUGGCCUUGUGCCGCGACUAACCAUUCAAGUUUCUGACCCAUCAGCUUUCGAUGGUAGUGUAUUGGACUACCAUGGCUUUCACGGGUAACGGAGGAUUAGGGUUCGAUUCCGGAGAGGGAGCCUGAGAAACGGCUACCACAUCUAAGGAAGGCAGCAGGCGCGUAAAUUACCCAAUCCUGACUCAGGGAGGUAGUGACAAGAAAUAACGGGUCGGGGCAUUCGCCUCGGGAUUGCAAUGAAUCGAAUUUACACCCCUUAAUGAGGAUCAAUUGGAGGGCAAGUCUGGUGCCAGCAGCCGCGGUAAUUCCAGCUCCAAUAGCGUAUAUUAAAGUUGUUGCAGUUAAAAAGCUCGUAGUUUGAUUUCUGGACGGGCGCCAACACCCGCUUGUUUAGUGUGGAGGCGGCGCCCGCCCAUCCUUCUGUUAACGCCACCGGCAUUCAUUUGCUGGCGGCGGGCUCAGAUAUUUUACCUUGAGAAAAUUAGAGUGUUUUCAGGCAGGCUUGCG
This 576-nucleotide ribosomal RNA is filed under the name uncultured eukaryote. RNAcentral's name for it is "SSU rRNA". It matches the Rfam family "Eukaryotic small subunit ribosomal RNA", at positions 203 to 790 of the family's 1831-position model. The record is from RNAcentral.